Molecule: long non-coding RNA, 1779 nt
Filed under: Sitophilus oryzae (rice weevil)
Lineage: Eukaryota; Metazoa; Arthropoda; Insecta; Coleoptera; Curculionidae
Description: uncharacterized LOC115889011, transcript variant X3
Source: RNAcentral
CUGAGUAACAUUACGUCUUUCUAGCUUUAACAGUGGCGUCUCUACUAUUUAGAACUAUACGUAGAUUAUUACAAAAAUGCGUAUAUUUUGUUAUUAGAUAGCGUUUUCGAUUGUUAAAUUAGAAUUACACUCACAUUCGAAACCGCUAUAAAUGUUUUAAAAAUUGUGUGUGUUAUGGCUAAUAUCUGUACCAAUAAAACAGCUAUUAUAGGUAGUUAAUACCUGAAAUUUGAAUAUCAAAAUCGCUAUCGCUAUUUUUCAAAAUUAAUAGGAAAAUAUAAAUAAAAUAAAAUCCAGAUUUUCAAUAUUUCAUUGUUACCGCCAGCCCCUUGCGCCAGCCAUACGCGCAGACGCGAGCAAAAGGUAUAUUCUAACCUCAAAUUUUGUCAAAAAAUAAAUAAUGAAGUGAUAUCAAACAUUUAGCCGAGUAUCCGUACUUAAACAGUUAAUACAUUGUUUGUAGAAUAUCAAUCAAAUUUACAUCAAUAACUUUAAGAUUAGCGGCGUACCUAAAAGGUACCAUCACCAUUUUUACAAUUACUUCAGACCAGAGCUUCAGACUUUAGCUAUAUAAUUCUUCCCCUAAUGUUGAAAGAAAACUGUUUUUGCGAUCUAAAUGGUAUAUUUGAGCUCUAGUUAUUAUUAGCAGGUUUUAGAUAUUAACCGUAACAUAUAUUAUAGCUUUACUGUAAAUACUGAGCGUAGACAGUGAUGGAUUUCACUCUAGAAUUUGGAAAAUGAAUCAAAAGUGUGCAAUCAAAUUUGUUCUGAUAAGUUUGAUAAAAGGGAUAUUAUGAUCACCGAAUAAACUGGUUGAAGGCAAAUAGGAAAUGCUGAGCUUCAAAUAGAUACUACCAUUUUUGCUGGGGCCUUAUCAUGCAGAAUAGUAAGAUAAAUCUCAUUUUCUGAUCUUUCAAUAGUUGGAUAUUUAUUGGCUCAAGAAGUCCUAUCAGAAAAAGGCUUCCCUAGCUGGGCCAGCACAAACUAUUUUUGAAAGAAUGUUAAAAGGACCUGCCACACAAAAAUCUAAUCCUCUGCUACUAUCCUUUGCUUUAACAUUGUCAUUUUAUUCACUGAAAACAUGAAUUUUAUAAGGGAUACAUAAACUGGCCCAAUAUUUUUGAUAUUUUUAACUCUCAGAAUGGAUUUACAAAAUAUUCAUAUCAAAAAUUAUCAAAAUAUAAGAACAACAUACUUUUUAAUAAUUUUGAAAUAAUUUAAUUGUAUAUUAUUGGACUUACUUUGAAAGAAAGGCCAAUUAUAGAGUCGCAAAGAAAAACAGCUUACAACAUAUGUAUAAAUCUAUGUAAAAGAAAGGCAAUUAUUAAAAUAUAUUUUGACUAACUGGUGGAGGUCUACGUAUACAAAAAACAAAAACGGAAGAUAAUAUAUUCAAUUAAUGUAAAAAUGAGAAGAGCAUUGUGGGAUUAAAAACAUACGAUGGUGAUAGAUUGUCUUAAACUAAUAGGAGUAAGGAGUACUGGUAAUUUCUCAAAACAAUACUGAUGGUUACAAAGAAACAGAAGAAAAGGGAAGAUAGUAAUUUACUAGACAAAAGGCUUUUGUAAUAUGGAGAUGGGCAAAAUUCAAAGUAGUAGUAUUCAAAACAGAGAAGAACAUAAGCUAAAGAAAAAAAGGGUUGCUUUUAGACAUUGAAAUAAAAAAAGAACAGUGAAGUUCUUAAAGAGAACUUAUUUAAUAAUUUUAAUUAUUGUUUAUAUUGUAAUGUAAAAACUGUAGUGUAUGUUAUUUCUGAAUAAAAUACAUUUAAUAAUGAUA